GUAAGGUACAGCCUACUUGAUAUAGGAUACAACCUAAAAAUGUGGCUAACCACAACCUUUAUAGCAAUAAAGUGGGCCUAAAAGCAGCCACCUUUUAAAUAGCGUCAAAGCUUACUUGCAAAACGGUCUAAUCACAAAAAUUUCUCUGAACCCCACAUCUGUACCGAGCAAUUCUAUAUUAUUAUAGAACUUUUUAUGUUAAAACUAGUAACAAGAAGACCCUUCUCUUUUAUGCAAGCAUAAGUCAGCUAGGACCUACCACUGAUAAUUAACACCUCUGAGUCCACAGUAGAAACACCACAAGAAAACCCUACUACACUUUGCGUUAACCUAACACAAGAGCAUAACAAGAAAGAUUAAAAGAAAAAGAAGGAACUCGGCAAACAUUAACCCCGCCUGUUUACCAAAAACAUCGCCUCUUGACCACCCUAUAAGAGGUCCAGCCUGCCCAGUGACUCUGUUCAACGGCCGCGGUAUCCUAACCGUGCGAAGGUAGCGUAAUCACUUGUUCUUUAAAUGAGGACUAGUAUGAAUGGCACCACGAAGGUUAUACUGUCUCCUUUUUCUAAUCAGUGAAACUAAUCUUCCCGUGAAGAAGCGGGAAUAAAGCUAUAAGACGAGAAGACCCUAUGGAGCUUUAAACAAACAUACACCUGCCUUUCUCCCUGAAAAUUUCAGAAAAAAACCAUUAUUUAGGCAUCUUGAUAUAAAGUUUUAGGUUGGGGUGACCACGGAGUAAAAAAUAACCUCCGCAAUGAAAGGGGCUUUACCCCUAAACUAAGGACUACGAUCCUAAGAAUCAAAAAAUUGACACCAAUUGACCCAAUAUAUUUGAUCAAUGAACCAAGUUACCCUAGGGAUAACAGCGCAAUCCACUUCAAGAGCCCCUAUCGACAAGUGGGUUUACGACCUCGAUGUUGGAUCAGGGUAUCCUAGUGGUGCAGCCGCUACUAACGGUUCGUUGUUCAACGAU
This 973-nucleotide ribosomal RNA is filed under the name Leptodactylus albilabris (Gunther's white-lipped frog). Its description in RNAcentral is "partial 16S ribosomal RNA". It matches the Rfam family "Bacterial large subunit ribosomal RNA", at positions 1013 to 2588 of the family's 2925-position model. Lineage: Eukaryota; Metazoa; Chordata; Amphibia; Anura; Leptodactylidae. The record is from RNAcentral.